GAUGAACGCUAGCUACAGGCUUAACACAUGCAAGUCGAGGGGAAACGACAUCGAAAGCUUGCUUUUGAUGGGCGUCGACCGGCGCACGGGUGAGUAACGCGUAUCCAACCUGCCCAUCACUUGGGGAUAACCUUGCGAAAGUAAGACUAAUACCCAAUGAUAUCUCUAGAAGACAUCUGAAAGAGAUUAAAGAUUUAUCGGUGAUGGAUGGGGAUGCGUCUGAUUAGCUUGUUGGCGGGGUAACGGCCCACCAAGGCAACGAUCAGUAGGGGUUCUGAGAGGAAGGUCCCCCACAUUGGAACUGAGACACGGUCCAAACUCCUACGGGAGGCAGCAGUGAGGAAUAUUGGUCAAUGGGCGAGAGCCUGAACCAGCCAAGUAGCGUGCAGGAAGACGGCCCUAUGGGUUGUAAACUGCUUUUAUAAGGGAAUAAAGUGAGAGUCGUGACUCUUUUUGUAUGUACCUUAUGAAUAAGGGCCGGCUAAUUCCGUG
RNAcentral lists this ribosomal RNA (492 nucleotides) under uncultured bacterium. RNAcentral describes it as "partial 16S ribosomal RNA". It matches the Rfam family "Bacterial small subunit ribosomal RNA", at positions 28 to 507 of the family's 1533-position model. The record is from RNAcentral.